Molecule: ribosomal RNA, 213 nt
Filed under: uncultured bacterium
Lineage: Bacteria
Description: partial 16S ribosomal RNA
Rfam family: Bacterial small subunit ribosomal RNA
Source: RNAcentral
ACUUCUGGAAACGGAUGCUAAACCGGAUAGGUAGCAGACAAGCAUUUGACUGCUAUUAAAGUGGCUAAGGCCAUGAACAUGGAUGGACCUGCGGUGCAUUAGCUAGUUGGUGAGGUAACGGCCCACCAAGGCGACGAUGCAUAGCCGGCCUGAGAGGGCGGACGGCCACAUUGGGACUGAGACACGGCCCAAACUCCUACGGGAGGCAGCAUG